UACGGAGGGUGCAAGCGUUAAUCGGAAUUACUGGGCGUAAAGCGCACGCAGGCGGUUUGUUAAGUCAGAUGUGAAAUCCCCGGGCUCAACCUGGGAACUGCAUUUGAAACUGGCAAGCUAGAGUCUCGUAGAGGGGGGUAGAAUUCCAGGUGUAGCGGUGAAAUGCGUAGAGAUCUGGAGGAAUACCGGUGGCGAAGGCGGCACCCUGGACGAAGACUGAGGCUAAGGUGCGGAAGCGUGGAGAGCAAACAGG
Molecule: ribosomal RNA, 253 nt
Filed under: uncultured bacterium
Lineage: Bacteria
Description: partial 16S ribosomal RNA
Rfam family: Bacterial small subunit ribosomal RNA
Source: RNAcentral